CGAAAGGUGGCUUGACCAGGCAUGUGAAUUCCAAACAUCGAGAUAAAGGAUAUGAGGCAAGUAAAGACAUCCCCGCACUGACAAAGGAUGGUUUAAUCUCCAUCGUGAAUAAAAUAAAGUUAAAUAUAACGAAUGAAGGUUAUUGGGACAAGCAAAUAACAUCGGAUUUGACGAAAAUCACCUCAAACGAUUCUUUGUUUGACGCUGUGCUGCCAAUAUACAAGCGAUUUUGCAAUAAACGAAACCAAGACAAGUUCCUCACAGAAUUCUAUGAGCUUAUUCCCACAUCAUCUGCCCUUUUCAAGUGUGCAAAUCAGCCAUUAUGUAGCCUUGUAAUGAUCUCCAUGACAGACCAUUUAGUGGCAUUAUUUAAGUCUGACCAUAAUAGUGAGCAAAUAACUUCAGGUUCAAGUAACAAGUCUCUGGAUCUAAGUGAACACGAACGUGGACCCUUGUCCUACAUUGCUGGGUACAUAUUAGCAAAAUUGCAAAAGCAGUGUUCCAGUAAACCUAAUGACGAGCUCCAGACUUUACUUCAAAAUAUGAAAUGCCCUGGUAUUGAGAACACCUAUAUUGAUGCUCGCAGCAGGGGUGGACUUGUGACACCAUGCAAGGACUUGGUGGAAAUUGUAGAAAUUGUUGAGGUAAUAUUUCGACAAUUUGUCACCAAGCAAAAAGACUUACUGCAGAAAAUUCCUUGUGAUUCCUUAUGCAAUGAUGCACUUGAAUCACCAUUGCUCAAGUCAUUGUGGGAAAACAUUUUGCAGGAAUGCAACCAAGAUUUGUCCAAACAAACUACCAAGCUUUGCCUGGAAAACAUUAUAAAACUUUAUUUAAAGGUCCGCAGCUUUUCAUAUGCAAAAGACUAUAUUAGCAAAUUUAAAAUCAAACAAAAAGCAGCAAAGAGCAAAGGACUGCGAAAAGAACUAAAAAGGCAGAAUGAAUUAGUCGCGAACUGAAUUGCAUUUUAUAAAAACACUUUUAAAUCAUGUACAUAUAGUUAUUGUUUAAAUAAGGGUAUUUUGUAAAGGGCUAAAGGAUUGAUUUCAAGUCUCUGAAUAAAGUGUUCUAAUCGAAGCUGUUUAAUCAGAGAGUGCUUUAUUGCCCAAAAUAUUGAAUAACAUAUUAAAUUGGGCUGCAAUGCAUCCUACUUCAGAGAUAUGAAAAGCUAAUUUCAAUCUUUCAAGACUGAAAUUAGCAUCCUAUACACCCUUUUCAU
This is a non-coding RNA of Paramuricea clavata, 1219 nucleotides long. The record is from the annotation of a GenBank genome assembly. NCBI's taxonomy places the organism in Eukaryota, Metazoa, Cnidaria, Anthozoa, Malacalcyonacea, Plexauridae.